RNAcentral lists this ribosomal RNA (499 nucleotides) under uncultured bacterium. RNAcentral's name for it is "partial 16S ribosomal RNA". It matches the Rfam family "Bacterial small subunit ribosomal RNA", at positions 29 to 523 of the family's 1533-position model. The record is from RNAcentral.
AUUGAACGCUGGCGGAAUGCUUUACACAUGCAAGUCGAACGGCAGCACGGACUUCGGUCUGGCGGCGAGUGGCGAACGGGUGAGUAAUACAUCGGAACGUACCUUAUCGUGGGGGAUAACGCAGCGAAAGCUGUGCUAAUACCGCAUACGCCCUGAGGGGGAAAGCGGGGGAUCGCAAGACCCCGCGCGAUUAGAGCGGCCGAUGCCUGAUUAGCUAGUUGGUGGGGUAAAAGCCCACCAAGGCGACGAUCAGUAGCUGGUCUGAGAGGACGAUCAGCCACACUGGGACUGAGACACGGCCCAGACUCCUACGGGAGGCAGCAGUGGGGAAUUUUGGACAAUGGGGGCAACCCUGAUCCAGCAAUGCCGCGUGAGUGAAGAAGGCCUUCGGGUUGUAAAGCUCUUUCGUCAGGGAAGAAACACCGGCUCUAACACAGUCCGGGAAUGACGGUACCUGAAGAAUAAGCACCGGCUAACUACGUGCCAGCCGCCGCCGUAA